This 338-nucleotide long non-coding RNA is filed under the name Sorghum bicolor (sorghum). Its description in RNAcentral is "long non-coding RNA (SBIC_LNC016909)". The record is from RNAcentral. Lineage: Eukaryota; Viridiplantae; Streptophyta; Magnoliopsida; Poales; Poaceae.
CUCCUCACUCACGCUCUCACACAUCAUCUCCACGCCUCUCUCCCCUACGGGUGACAACCUUCCCAGAGCCUACAACUGCGUGGCCGCGCCUCACCAGAUCCGCCCGCCAGCGACCCACCUCCUCUCUCGUGUGUGACCAUGGUGGAUGCGGCGGAGGCACCACCAGAUCUGGACAUGGUGGCGGUGCCACCAGAUCUGACCGCGGUGGUGGCGGAUCCACCGGAUGCAACGACAGUGAUACUGGAUCCACCAGAUCUGGCAGCGGCGGUGGUGGAUCCACCAGAUGUGGCGGUAGCGAUGGUGGAUCAGCCAGAUCUGAUGGUGGUGAUGAUGGCAGC